GUGGAUUAGAUACCCUGGUAGUCCUGGCUGUAAACGGUGCACGUUUGCUGUAAAAGGAAUCGACCCCUUUUGUGGCGAAGCUAACGCGAUAAACGUGCCGCCUGGGAAGUACGGUCGCAAGAUUAAAACUCAAAGAAAUUGACGGGGGCCUGCACAAGCGGUGGAGUAUGUGGCUUAAUUCGAUGCAACGCGAAGAACCUUACCUGGCCUUGACAUGCAAGUGGUAGGACCAUGAAAGUGGGACGACCCCGCAAGGGGAGAUUGCACAGGUGCUGCAUGGCCGUCGUCAACU
Molecule: ribosomal RNA, 292 nt
Filed under: uncultured bacterium
Lineage: Bacteria
Description: partial 16S ribosomal RNA
Rfam family: Bacterial small subunit ribosomal RNA
Source: RNAcentral